Non-coding RNA from Rattus norvegicus (Norway rat), 69 nucleotides. The record is from Rfam. NCBI's taxonomy places the organism in Eukaryota, Metazoa, Chordata, Mammalia, Rodentia, Muridae.
GGGGAUUUAGCUCAGCGGUAGAGCGCUUGCUUGGGAAGUGCAAGGCCCUGGGUUCGGUCCCCAGCUCCA